Molecule: long non-coding RNA, 703 nt
Organism: Oreochromis aureus
Lineage: Eukaryota; Metazoa; Chordata; Actinopteri; Cichliformes; Cichlidae
Source: Ensembl
CCCUGUCAGUGCCAUCGAGGAAGCUUCUUGUGAAGACUUGCAUUGGGGAUUUGGUGGAGAGGUGUGGUUAUUACCCUCUUAGUGCAGAGAAGCUGACUGUAGCAAAAAGCAUCAUCACCACUUUUCCAUCCCUGAGUGUCCGAGUGGCAGGACAGGGGGAAGGAUUUGAGCAUUGUUAUGAUCCAGUCUCUCAUUGUGGAUUCCUAGAGACUAAACUGUGCAACCUUAGAUUGAAUCUCGACCAGGGGCAGAGACGUUAUAAGAAGCGAAAAGUGACAGAUGACUGUGGUGAAGACAAGAAGCUCAGGCGAGAGGAUGGGAAUACCAGCAGCACAGAUGAGUGGGUCACCCUGAUCAAAAGAUUGCGGCCCUCAGCUGAGAACCUUCCAACUAUCAUGUCAGGCAUGGAGGAAACAUACACCAGUGGCAGAGCCUGGAUUAGCAAGGACUCCCCCACUGCUGCUGAAAUAUUCAGAGAGUACCCACAGUUUUUGGACAUGCCAAGUCUGCUGGACUUGGAGUUUGGCAAGCUUACAGGAGGAAGGACGGAUCUGUUUUUAUGAAAAUGGGAAGCCAGUAUCAUUCCGAAACUCAAAUCAGUGGCUGCCCUGGAAACAAGAAUGUCCUCUCUGUUGAAGGAUUUUGAAGAGAAGACUGAAGAUGAGGCUUGUUACACUGCCCUUGUGGUGUUAACACACCUGCU